Molecule: ribosomal RNA, 337 nt
Filed under: uncultured bacterium
Lineage: Bacteria
Description: bacterial SSU rRNA
Rfam family: Bacterial small subunit ribosomal RNA
Source: RNAcentral
AGAGUUUGAUUAUGGCUCAGGAUGAACGCUAGCUACAGGCUUAACACAUGCAAGUCGAGGGGAAACGACAUCGAAAGCUUGCUUUCGAUGGGCGUCGACCGGCGCACGGGUGAGUAACGCGUAUCCAACCUGCCCACCACUUGGGGAUAACCUUGCGAAAGUAAGACUAAUACCCAAUGAUAUCUCUAGAGGGCAUCUGAAAGAGAUUAAAGAUUUAUCGGUGAUGGAUGGGGAUGCGUCUGAUUAGCUUGUUGGCGGGGUGACGGCCCACCAAGGCGACGAUCAGUAGGGGUUCUGAGAGGAAGGUCCCCCACAUUGGAACUGAGACACGGUCCAA